GACGAACGCUGGCGGCGUGCUUAACACAUGCAAGUCGAACGGUGAACCCCUUCGGGGGGGAUCAGUGGCGAACGGGUGAGUAACACGUGAGCAACCUGCCCCUGACUCUGGGAUAACCCCGGGAAACCGGAGCUAAUACCGGAUACGACACGCUCGGGCAUCCGAUGCGUGUGGAAAGAUUUAUCGGUUGGGGAUGGGCUCGCGGCCUAUCAGCUUGUUGGUGGGGUAAUGGCCUACCAAGGCGACGACGGGUAGCCGGCCUGAGAGGGCGACCGGCCACACUGGGACUGAGACACGGCCCAGACUCCUACGGGAGGCAGCAGUGGGGAAUAUUGCGCAAUGGGCGAAGCCUGACGCAGCGACGCCGCGUGAGGGAUGAAGGCCUU
This 386-nucleotide ribosomal RNA is filed under the name uncultured bacterium. RNAcentral's name for it is "bacterial SSU rRNA". It matches the Rfam family "Bacterial small subunit ribosomal RNA", at positions 28 to 418 of the family's 1533-position model. The record is from RNAcentral.